GACGAACGCUGGCGGCGUGCUUAACACAUGCAAGUCGAACGAAGUGGCGAACGGGUGAGUAAUACGUGGGUAACCUGCCCUCCGUUUUGGGAUAAGCCUUGGAAACGGGUUCUAAUACCGAAUAAAGGGGGAUGGGCUCGCGGCCUAUCGGCUUGUUGGGGGGGUGAUGGCCUACCAAGGCGGUGACGGGUAGCAGGCCGGAGAGCGUGACCGGGAACAUGGGGAGGGGGAUACUGCCCAGAGUCCUACGGGAGGCAGAAGUGGGGGAUAGUGCGCAAUGGGGGUAAGGCUGAUGCAGGGGUGUCGCGUGGGGGAUGAGGGCUUUCGGUUUUUAAAGCUGUUUCGAUAUCGAACGGGUAGGUGGAGAAGAAGCGCCGGCUAACUACGUGCCAGCAGCCGCGGUAAUUC
RNAcentral lists this ribosomal RNA (408 nucleotides) under uncultured bacterium. RNAcentral describes it as "partial 16S ribosomal RNA". It matches the Rfam family "Bacterial small subunit ribosomal RNA", at positions 28 to 526 of the family's 1533-position model. The record is from RNAcentral.